RNAcentral lists this unclassified non-coding RNA (379 nucleotides) under soil metagenome. RNAcentral describes it as "partial contains 5.8S ribosomal RNA, internal transcribed spacer 2, and large subunit ribosomal RNA". The stretch from base 1 to 120 matches the Rfam family "5.8S ribosomal RNA", at positions 35 to 154 of the family's 154-position model. The record is from RNAcentral.
GAUGAAGAACGUAGUGAAAUGCGAUAAGUAAUGUGAAUUGCAUAAUUCAGUGAAUCAUCGAAUCUUUGAACGCACCUUGCACCCUUUGGCAUUCCGAAGGGUAUGCUCGUUUGAGUGUCAUUGUACUCUCACACUUCCAAUCUUUGGAUUGGGAGCAGUGGACUUGGGUGUUGCUGCUUACUGUGGCUCACCUCAAAUCGAUUCGUGCACCUCUUGGUUGGACAUAGUACGGCGUGAUAAGUGUCUUCGCCGGCACCUCAGUAGAGGGUGGCUGAUCAGGAGCUCUGUGCUUCAAACCGUCCUCGGACAACAACUGACAACUUGACCUCAAAUCGAGUAGGACUACCCGCUGAACUUAAGCAUAUCAAUAAGCGGAGGA